ACGGGUGAGUAACACGUGGGUAACCUGCCCAUCAGAAGGGGAUAACACUUGGAAACAGGUGCUAAUACCGUAUAACACUAUUUUCCGCAUGGAAGAAAGUUGAAAGGCGCUUUUGCGUCACUGAUGGAUGGACCCGCGGUGCAUUAGCUAGUUGGUGAGGUAACGGCUCACCAAGGCAACGAUGCAUAGCCGACCUGAGAGGGUGAUCGGCCACACUGGGACUGAGACACGGCCCAGACUCCUACGGGAGGCAGCAGUAGGGAAUCUUCGGCAAUGGACGAAAGUCUGACCGAGCAACGCCGCGUGAGUGAAGAAGGUUUUCGGAUCGUAAAACUCUGUUGUUAGAGAAGAACAAGGAUGAGAGUAAAAUGUUCAUCCCUUGACGGUAUCUAACCAGAAAGCCACGGCUAACUACGUGCCAGCAGCCGCGGUAAUACGUAGGUGGCAAGCGUUGUCCGGAUUUAUUGGGCGUAAAGCGAGCGCAGGCGGUUUCUUAAGUCU
Molecule: ribosomal RNA, 501 nt
Filed under: Enterococcus casseliflavus
Lineage: Bacteria; Bacillati; Bacillota; Bacilli; Lactobacillales; Enterococcaceae
Description: bacterial SSU rRNA
Rfam family: Bacterial small subunit ribosomal RNA
Source: RNAcentral